AUUGAACGCUGGCGGCAUGCUUUACACAUGCAAGUCGAACGGCAGCGCGGGCUUCGGCCUGGCGGCGAGUGGCGAACGGGUGAGUAAUGCAUCGGAACGUGCCCAGUAGUGGGGGAUAGCCCGGCGGAAGCCGGAUUAAUACCGCAUACGACCUGAGGGUGAAAGCGGGGGACCGAAAGGCCUCGCGCUAUUGGAGCGGCCGAUGUCGGAUUAGCUAGUUGGUGGGGUAAAGGCUUACCAAGGCGACGAUCCGUAGCUGGUCUGAGAGGACGACCAGCCACACUGGGACUGAGACACGGCCCAGACUCCUACGGGAGGCAGCAGUGGGGAAUUUUGGACAAUGGGGGCAACCCUGAUCCAGCCAUGCCGCGUGCGGGAAGAAGGCCUUCGGGUUGUAAACCGCUUUUGUUCGGGAAGAAAUCCUCUGGGCUAAUACCCCGGGGGGAUGACGGUACCGGAAGAAUAAGCACCGGCUAACUACGU
This 483-nucleotide ribosomal RNA is filed under the name uncultured bacterium. RNAcentral's name for it is "partial 16S ribosomal RNA". It matches the Rfam family "Bacterial small subunit ribosomal RNA", at positions 28 to 506 of the family's 1533-position model. The record is from RNAcentral.